Molecule: non-coding RNA, 2051 nt
Filed under: Pan troglodytes (chimpanzee)
Lineage: Eukaryota; Metazoa; Chordata; Mammalia; Primates; Hominidae
Source: RNAcentral
AGGGGGACCGGCGGUCCGGGCGAGGCCUCGGCCGCGCAUCGCACCCCGGCUCCCCGCCGCCGGAGUUGAGGGGGAGGCGCGCUCUCCGUAAGAGCCGGAGGCGGGGCGCCAUCGCCCUCCCACUCCCUGGCGGGCGGGCCGGGGGAGCCCGGGGCUGCGAACACCCCCAGACGGGCGACUGCGGGAGGGGAGGCUGGACCAAGGGGCCUGGUCCACCGGACCAGCGGUGGCGGCAUCGGCAUCUCGCCUCCUUCAGGCCUGCACGCGCCACAGGCCGCAGCCUGGACCAACCCCGCGUCCCCGGGCCGUGAGCGCUGCGGUCCCGGCCCCCCAGAGCGGGACGCCGGGCGGCCGCGGCCCCCCGGACCCGGCUCUCCGCCCGCUCCGCCCGCAGUCCCGGCGCGGAGAGCGGCCGUCCGAGCCGCUGCCGCGGCAGCGCGGGUGUCGGCGGCGGAGCCCGGGGCGGGGAAGAGCGGAGGAAGGGGCGGCGAGGGGGCGGGCCGGCGGCGGCCAGGGAGGUCGGAGUGCGCGGGGCUCGGCACCCCCUCGGCCCGCGCUGCGCCAGCACCACCUGCGGAGCUGCGGUGCCCACGCCGUGCCGCGACCCCGCCGCCCCCUGCUCCCUCCACACGCGGGCAAACAAAACAAGUUGCCGGUCGCUGCCGCCGGAGGGGGCCGGGCGGGUCACUCACCCUCAUCCUGCUCAGCGGGCUUGGGUCGUCCGGCCGCGGGGUCAGGGAAGACCAGAGGACCACUAGCCCCAGGAAGCUUCCCACCACUAGCAAACUGCGUGGUGAAUUUGUAACCGAAAGGCCCAGGUGAGAUGUGCAAAUAUCACUGGAUUGGAGGAGCUCACUUGGAAAGCCAGUAUUCCUCCUGAGCUAAUGAAAAGAAAGGCUGUCGUCUUAUGCCAAAAGCAAUACCAACCUUGUUCACGGGCUGAGAUCUAGAGUGUGUAAUUCACGAAGUAUGAAUCUGCUGGGUAAUGUGAUAUGAAAAGCGAAUGCACCAUUUCUUGGUGAUGAUUCAGGUCAGCGUUGGGACCCAGGAAUCUCCUGUUAAUCAGUACCCUGGUGAUUUUGAUCCAGAGACAGUGUCUAUUAUCUGGUCCUGUUGUCAAGGCUGGUCUCAAACUCCUGGCCUCCAGCGAUCCUCCCUUUUUGGCCUCCCAAGAUGCUGGUAUUACAGGCAUGAGCCACCAUGGUCCACCUGGACUCCUUUUCAUAGGAGACAGUUCCCUAGGUGGAGACUGGGCUUGAAACAGUUCCUGGGAUAAUAGUCACUAAAGAAGAGGGUAGAGACUAGAACUGAAUGAGAUGGACAUAGAGAUGGCCAAGAAAAGCAUCGUCCUCUGCCAAGUCAUGGGGUCAUGUGUGGUGGAUGGUGACAUGGUGUCCUCAGCUCAGAGUCCAGCUGGGGGCUCAGAAGCAAGAUAAAAAUGUGUAUGAAGGUGGAGCCUUGUCUAUCUAGUUCGUUAUUUGUUAUCCAUGUCUGAUUGUUCAUGUUGGAAGGCAUACUUUCUGAACUCUUCUCAAGUGAUGAUAAAAUGGACUAGUUGAUAAAUCUUUCUGGUACAGGUUUUCAAAACUUCCAUCUAUCCACUGUGCUUUCAUGUUAAAGAAAGAAUGGAAACAUCAUCUCUAAAACAAGAUAAACAGCUCUGGGGCUGAGGAGGCCAGCCUGCUACUGGGUAGUUUUGAUAUCAGAAGUAUUUCAAAACCUCUCCCCUGUGGAGGAUGAGUUAUAUACCCACCCUGGGGCAUCAACAUGAAGCUGCUGCCCAGUGUGCCAUUGACGGAACACUGCAGGUCGGACAGGCCGCUCCUGCUAAAGUGUAACUUAAGUUAUUCUCACAGAAGUACCAUCCCACAGAACCCACCCGGGGGACUGUGGUUCUACACUGACUCAGUGAUCAGAGUGGGGACAUUUUCUUAUCCUUCCAGAGACUGACAAGAGAGGGGACCUGAAGGUACCUUGAUCUCACAGCUGCAUCCUGAUACAUAUAUUUUUAAUACUGUGAUGGGAAUAAAUUACUCUGAGGCUCCCAAUAA